Molecule: long non-coding RNA, 129 nt
Organism: Hibiscus syriacus
Lineage: Eukaryota; Viridiplantae; Streptophyta; Magnoliopsida; Malvales; Malvaceae
Exons: 4
Source: RefSeq, a predicted model, not a curated record
AAAAUAACAAUCUUCUCCCAAACUAUACUGUGUAUACAUAAAUUCACUAAUAAUCCAAAAUCUUUUUUAUGUACUAACAAAUUACACGGGCAACUUGCCCCCCAUUUACGUUUUAUUGAGAUAGUACCG